This 492-nucleotide ribosomal RNA is filed under the name uncultured bacterium. Its description in RNAcentral is "partial 16S ribosomal RNA". It matches the Rfam family "Bacterial small subunit ribosomal RNA", at positions 29 to 507 of the family's 1533-position model. The record is from RNAcentral.
AGUGAACGCUGGCGGUAGGCCUAACACAUGCAAGUCGAACGGCAGCACAGUAAGUGCUUGCUCUUACGGGUGGCGAGUGGCGGACGGGUGAGGACUACAUCGGAAUCUACUUUUUCGUGGGGGAUAACGUCGGGAAACUUACGCUAAUACCGCAUACGACCUACGGGUGAAAGCAGGGGAUCUUCGGACCUUGUGCGAUUGAAUGAGCCGAUGUAGGCUUAGCUAGUUGGCGGGGUAAAGGCCCACCAAGGCGACGAUCCGUAGCUGGUCUGAGAGGAUGAACAGCCACACUGUAACUGAGACACGGUCCAGACUCCUACGGGAGGCAGCAGUGGGGAAUAUUAGACGAUGGGCGCGAGCCUGAUCCAGCCAUACCGCGUGAGUGAAGAAGGACUUCGGGUUGUAAAGCCCUUUUGUUGGGAAAGAAAAGCAGCAGGUUAAUACCCCGCUGUUCUGACGGUACCCAAAGAAGAAGCACCGGCUAACUUCGUG